Molecule: ribosomal RNA, 651 nt
Filed under: Micarea aff. nowakii
Lineage: Eukaryota; Fungi; Ascomycota; Lecanoromycetes; Lecanorales; Micareaceae
Description: SSU rRNA
Rfam family: Bacterial small subunit ribosomal RNA
Source: RNAcentral
UGUAUAGCGGAUUGCUAAUUGUUUCAUUCCAGAAAGAUAGAUGAAGCAAUCUCGAUUUGAUCGAAUAAAAUUCUGGGUAAAAUUAUGAUAAUGACAUUAUUUACUUAUGAGUCUUGACCAAAUUACGUGCCAGCAGUCGCGGUAAUACGUAGAAGACUAGUGUUAUUCAUCUUUAAUAGGUUUAAAGGGUACCUAGACGGCAGAUUAAGCCUUAGUUGGGACUGGUUUGCUAGAGUUACUUAUGAGGAAGUUUUAAUGUACUAGAGGUGAAGAGAUAAAAUUCUGUUAUACUUUUUUUCUAACGAAAAAUUUCGGCACAGGUAUAGGUGAAAACAUCUUCUUAUGGGAUAACUGACGUUGAGGGACGAAGGCUUUUUAUCGCGAACAGGAUUAGAUACCCUGGUAGUCAAAGCAGAAAAUGAUGAGUGUCAUAGAUUAGAUAAACGUUUAUUCUAUAAAUGAAAGUGUAAGCACUCCACCUCAAGAGUAAUUUGGCAACAUUGGAACUGAAAUCAUUAGACCGUAUCUGAAACCAGUAGUGAAGUAUGUUAUUUAAUUUGAUAAUCCGCAAAAAACCUUACCACAAACUUGAAUGUUUAUUUAGUUACUUUUGUAACUAAAAUAAACACAAGUGUUGCACGGCCUGUCUUC